AGCGGCGGAUGGGUGAGUAACACGUGGGGAACCUGCCCCUAAGUCUGGGAUACCAUUUGGAAACAGGUGCUAAUACCGGAUAAUAAAGCAGAUCGCAUGAUCAGCUUUUGAAAGGCGGCGUAAGCUGUCGCUAAGGGAUGGCCCCGCGGUGCAUUAGCUAGUUGGUAAGGUAACGGCUUACCAAGGCGACGAUGCAUAGCCGAGUUGAGAGACUGAUCGGCCACAUUGGGACUGAGACACGGCCCAAACUCCUACGGGAGGCAGCAGUAGGGAAUCUUCCACAAUGGACGCAAGUCUGAUGGAGCAACGCCGCGUGAGUGAAGAAGGUUUUCGGAUCGUAAAGCUCUGUUGUUGGUGAAGAAGGAUAGAGGUAGUAACUGGCCUUUAUUUGACGGUAAUCAACCAGAAAGUCACGGCUAACUACGUGCCAGCAGCCGCGGUAAUACGUAGGUGGCAAGCGUUGUCCGGAUUUAUUGGGCGUAAAGCGAGCGCAGGCGGAAAAAUAAGUCUAAUGUGAAAGCCCUCGGCUUAACCGAGGAACUGCAUCGGAAACUGUUUUUCUUGAGUGCAGAAGAGGAGAGUGGAACUCCAUGUGUAGCGGUGGGAAUGCGUAGAUAUAUGGAAGAACACCAGUGGCGAACGCGGCUCUCUGGUCUGCAACUGACGCUGAAGGCUCGAAAGCAUGGGUAGCGAACA
RNAcentral lists this ribosomal RNA (696 nucleotides) under uncultured bacterium. RNAcentral describes it as "bacterial SSU rRNA". It matches the Rfam family "Bacterial small subunit ribosomal RNA", at positions 94 to 774 of the family's 1533-position model. The record is from RNAcentral.